UUUUAUUUUUUUUGUACAUGAACAGGGACUAGCUCGAGAAGCUACAGGUGAAGCCAUUGUCGGCUUCCUUGGCAUCGAAGAGGGUGGGUGGUGGAGGAAGGUUGGGGGGGGGGGGACGGGUGGGGAAGGGUUUAUGGGUUUUGGGAUUUUAGGGAUGCAGGUUGGUAGGGAGAGAGAAGAGAGAGAGAGAGAGAGGGGGUGGUGGAGGUAGGUUAGGGGGGGACGGUUGGAAGGAUUUGUAAAGGUGGAUCCCACAAUUUUAUACAAAAAAAUAAUUUAUUUUUAAUUUUUUAAUAUUUUAUUAUUAAAAAUAUAUUUUAUUAUUUUUAAAUCUAGUUAGAUUAAUGAGUGGGUCCCGUCUUUAGUCACGUCAGCACUUAACAGAGAAAUUAACAGAAAAACUGACGGAAGUCUGACAUUGGCACAAAUUCGUAAAAUGAGGUAUGACAUUAUCAUUUUUAAAAGAUGAAGUAUAAUAGUGUCGUUCGACCCGUAGUUUUGUGUAAUUUACCCAUAAAUUUUAUAUCACAGACAUUACUUUAGUCUAAAGAAGGGAAGGGAUUCCAAUUGCACUGUUCAAAUGAACAGUGUUUAGACCCGGAUUUCACUCUAUUUACCGCCAAGCCACUGCUUUACAGAGUGGCCUUUGUGGGUUGGACUCGAUUUUCUCUCUAUGUGCGCCAUGCCAUUGCUUUAAUCAGUGGGCUCUGUGGAAGGUUUGGGUUCGGGCUGGAGUUUCUUUUUUGGGUUUGGGAGGAUGGGCUUUUUGCGGGUUUGGGCCGUGGCUGGGUUUGUUUUGGUUGGUUUCGGUAUAAGGUGAGGUGGAUGCCGUGACUCACCGACAAAGGCUAACCUGCAGCCUGCAGAAUGGCAUAAAGAAGAGGAGAGAUGGAAGUGUCGUGCGUGAGAGAAGAAGAGAGAAGGAAGAGUCAUGCGUUGCAAAAGGGAUGGGAGUAAAGAUGGGAGGAGAGAGGGGUGCCCGAAAGUUUGGUUUUGUUUUUGUUGACAACGGGUGCACAGAGAGACGGCGAGGCAGGGAUGGAGGUAGACUUGUAAACAGGUCGGGUUUAUUGGGUUUGGAUCGGGUUCAAUCCGACCUGUUAAGUUAACGGGUCAUUCGAACCCGACCCGUUAAGCUAACGGGUCACCCGUUUCAUCCGUUAACACUCGGUAACAAUUAUUAUUAUUAUUAUUAUUUUGCAUAAAGUUUAUUUUUUGUUAUUAAGACUUUACAAAAAUUACUAAAAUAUCCUCAACUAAUGGGUGCUAUCGGGUGUUGACGGGUCUUAAUGGGUCUAACAGGUUGACCCAAAGUGACCCGUUAUUUAACGGGUUGUUAACGGGUUCACCCGUUAGCGAUCCGACCUGUUAAGCAUCCAUCCAAAUACAAAUAUUAACGGGUUGGGUCAGGUCGGGUUAACGGGUUGGGUCCAAAAUGCCAAGCCUAAAUGGAGGGCUAGGGGGUAGGGUUGAUUUCAGAAUUUUUGUUCCAGCUGGAAGCCAUUUCCGCAAGAAUUGAUGGGAAGGCAUGGUUGUGUGCAGUUUGUGGGGUUAGCUGGUCAGAAAGGGGUUACUGAGGGAGGUAUAUGGGAGAGUUUGAUUUUUCUGUUUCCUCCCUUGAUUUAAAAGGUAAUGCACUAUUUUCAGUUGGUGUGUCUUCUGACUCAAAUUUAAAAAUGGUUUCUUGACUUCUGUUAUGCUUUGUGCUGCCAUAUUUUCUGUUGUUACUGAGGCUUGAUUGAAAUAUGCAUCAACUUGAUUGAUUAUGCUGUUGUAUUCUCUCUCUCUGCAUUUUCUCCUUUUCUCUUUUUAAUGAGGCUUUAUGCUGCUAAACCAAAAUGAUGAAAUAUUCAUUUUUAAUGAUAGUUUAUAAUUGGGUAUGUUUUAAUUUGAUUAGUGUGCUUUUUUUUUUGUGCUUAGGAUUUAGGACAUUGGUAACUUGCUUCAUUAGGAAUUUGUGUGUUUACCUCCUGAUCAGUAUUCAAAUUUAACUUUUUGUCAUAUAUUUUCAGCAGAUAUUGUAGUUAAUCAAUUCAUCUGUGACGUAUUUGAACUUAAGUCAAAUUUUUAAAUUCAAGUUUGAAAAUCUCCUUUUUGGUGAAGCUAUUUGUACAAGUAAUGAGACUAGGAAUGGCAACAGGCAGGGUACGCCGGGUAUUUGCAUCCUGCCUCAACCUCUAAACAAGGCACUGACAACUUUUCAUUGUUUAACUUUUUCCUCCCUUAAAUAGUUGCAUAUGUUUGAUUUGUUAAUCUGCUUCUUACACAUGUUGUUUCCUAAUGGUGUAGGUGGGUUGUCGGAUGUAUGUGCAGAUUACUCGAAUAGAUGAAGCUAAGAAUGACUUAGUAUUGAGUGAGAAAGAAGCUUGGGUCAGUUGGAUUUUAACAUUUAAUCUAUUCAUGUUUUUUGUUGCUUGCAAUGUUCUCUCAUUGUUUGUUAUGAGAUUCUAUGAUCUUAUUUUUCAUAAGAACUGACAUUGGUUUGCCAUAUAAUGUUUCAGGAACUGUUAUACCUUAAGGAGGGAACACUUUUAGAAGGAACUGUCAAGAAAAUCUUUCCAUAUGGAGCCCAAGUGAGGAUAGGAGAAACUAACAGGAGGUAUAAUGACUUUCAAACUUACUUUAAAAUCUGACUGGGCGCAUAGUUUCCCUGUUUUUUUUUUCCACUUUUGAAGAAGCACUGCAUGUGUGGAGUACUUUUGAAAGAUUAGAACACCACAAAAUGGAAAUAAAAUAGCAUGCAACUUUCUCUCAAAAGGUAUCUAAAUGCAUGAAAAAGAUGAGAAGAUACAUAAUAUAUAUCUUCAGAAUAGAAAUUAAAAUUUUGAACUUUAAAAUGAAAAGCAUGCAAUUUUGUACUCUUACCCAACAAUUGCUUCUCAAAAUUGCCUCAUUCCUGGGAUCUAUUUUGAUAAGAAACAAGACCUUACAACUAUUGCAUUCUUCGUUUUCUUGAAUUUCCUUGGUUUUUGAUGGAUGAUUGAGUGGUGUUUGAUUGAGAAAUUUGCCGAUUAGGAUUAGGUUGGGGUCUGUUUGGUUGCCUGGAAAAUUUGGGAAAGAAAAUGGGGUCGUGGGAUUGGGAUUUAGGACCUUCAUAACUUGAUUGAUUAGGAAUUUGUGUGUUUAUCUCCUAAGUAGUAUUCAAAUUUAGUGCAUAUAAGUCCCUUUCUUAAGAGGGAUCUAUUUUGAUAAGAAACAAGACCUUACAACUGUUGCAUUCUUCGUUUUCUUGAUUGUAAAGUCUCUGUACCAUGUCACAUAUAUUAAUAGGAUGCUUAGGUAAUUGUAGGAGAAGUUAUACAUGCAUUCUUUUGGCAAUCCUUUCCCUGAACCUGUAGUGAUCCUGAUUUGAGUCUAACUCUGCCUUGGUCAUAGCUCAACAUGGAAACGUUAUGGAAUAUCUUCUGUAUAAGCGUUUCUAGGCUCUAGCCUCCUCUUUUUGAGCAGACUUAUCAAAUAUAUCACAACGCAUGUUCUACUAGAGCUCAAAUCAAACAAAGAGAGGGAAAAUCAAAAUACACCAGAAAAAGAAAAAAACUUAAUUUAUUAAGGUGUAUGGAGGAAAGGUUUUAGUCAUUUAAAAUUAGGUUAAAUUAACGAUGUUAUAUAUUGAUUCUAAUUUGAUACUUGCUUGCCCUGCAGUCAACCCAGUGCUUAAGGAUUAUGUAUGUUUCCCACUUCCCAGGUCUAAUUCGAUCGCAUGCAUGUAACAAUUGUUAAAUUGGGGGACUGGACAAUUAACUAAUCAUAAUUUAUUUAUUGUGUGUAAUUACCUCCAUAAGUGUGGUUACAAGUUGAGCCUUUUCUUUGUUUAUUUUUUGUUGAAGCUUUCCAGGCCUUCGUUGUAUUCUUUUUCCAAUUUGUUGACAAAUAAGAUCAUGUUUAUUUUUCUUCUAAUUUUCGAAUAUAUAUAUAUUUCUCUCCACUUGCCAGUUUCAUUCUGGCAGUUUCCUCCUGUUUGAUAACUUUGUUUUUUUUUUUUUUCCUGUUUGUGGUUUUUAGUCUUUGUCAUUUAAUUGGUGUAGCUUUCCUAUGAUCUCUGUUCCGGCAGUGUGUGAUUAGUGCUAAUGGAAUUUCAACACGGUUUUUGAGCUAUAAUUAUCGUCGCUGUUCUGUGAGUUAGUGCUAAUGGAUUUGCUGUGUUUGAGAUUUUCAGAAACUUGGAUCGUUGGACGGAGCACUUGGCCCUUUGGCUUUUGAGGUAUAUUUAUUCACGGUGGUUUCAUGACUGUUGUUACAUUUUUUUUGUGCACGUCAGGACUGGAUUUGGCUAUGUAAUAGUGGCAUCCUUUGACUAUGUGUCACCACGAUAACAGUGGAAUGUGUAAUUGCUGUCUUAAGUUGGUGUAAUGUUAAUGGUUUGCAGAUGCUUAGGUGACCAUUUGUAAAAUUGCUAUCAAUAAAAUUGCCAUCGAUGAAAUUGGGGAAGAAAUUUUGGGAAAUAAUGUUAAUGGUUUGUAGAUGCUUAGUGUGCUGUUAAUUCUGUUGUUAGGUUGCUGCCAUUGUUUGUUAAUUAUUAUUAACAAGCUUUUGUUGCUUCCAUUGUUUGUUAAUUAUUAUUAAUAAGUUUUAAGGCACGAACCCAUUGGUUAUUGAUGGCUAUUGGCGCAAGGCCAUUAUUGUUUCACCGCUGGUGAGAUUGUGUUGUUUGUUGAAGAUUUUUUGGUGAGGUUCAUGCUGUGUGCAUUUUCUUUUGUAUUUUUUGUGUUUCUUGCAAUCAUAAAGUGGGUUGAGCUUGGUUUAUGAAUAAAAACAGCAAAUGUAUUGACUUUUGGAUGUGUUUCGCGUAAAAACAGCAAGUUGUGAUGUGUUUGUCGUUGUAAACUUGAUCGGGAACUUUGGCUUUCGAUGUGUUUCGCAUGAUAAAAUGGCAAAUAUAUUGAGCUUGAAAAUAAGGGUUUAGGGUUCACAGCCUAUUUAGUUAUAUGGAUUUUUUAUUUAUCUUUCUAAAGCUUUCAUACAUGGAUUUUAAAUAUGUGAUUGGUUUGUGAGAGAUAAAUGAAAACAAUAAUCAUGGGGGCAUUCUUAUUUUGGAUUUUCUCUUCUGCAUUUUUUCUUCUGUCCUUUGUAUGUUUACAGUUAGAUCAAUGGGUUCAAACCCUUGAACUAAAAUUUGUUUGACAACCUUGAAAGUGUUUGGUUUUUUGGUGCUCUUUAAUUUGCACUUUCUUUUAUUUAUCUGGAUUAUUGUUUUUCCGGCCCUUUUAAUCGUUGUGGUUCACAAAGUCCUUAUUGAUCUUGCAAUUGUUGUUUUUAAUUUAUCUUUGUUGGGUAGGCAUGACACGCCCCGACCCUGAUAUUCUUCGAAUACCAGGAUAGACACGUGCUGGCCGACACCCGAGGGUGACGAAAGCCAUUAAUUAAUACAAAAGCUAAGAAUAAGAAAUAAAUAAGGGUUAUGAAUUUAAAAUACCAUGAAUUAAUAAUUUAGGAACAUGUUCAGAACAUACAACUAAACCUAAUCACUAAAAAGAAUUGAGAUAAAAUUGAAUGAAUAAAGAAGUGGGUCCUACAUCGAGAGAAUUCAAAGACGCUGCUGCGGAAGUGUCUUGACGCCGGGAUUAGAUGCCUUGAUCCUAAGUCCUGAAUGGGGGCGCAAAACAAAGGUGAGUAGACCAAAUUUAUAUAUAUAAUAAUAAUAAAACAGUUAUCAAGAUACUAACCCCCACAGUUUAAUAGUGAAAACUAUUAGCAUAAUAAGUGAUGGAUUUAAUAAAAAUCCUAGCAUGCCAAAAAUAUCUCAAAAGCCAUAUCGCGGAAUAUCAUCGCGUACAACCAAAGCAUGAAUCGUCUCACAGAUCGUCUCGUAAACGCGGUGUGCUGCUAGUAAGAUCACCGAAUAAACAUAACUCCCGGCCCAAUGCCUGCACCUAAGUCUCUGUGCCCGUAGCCAGAGAUAACUCCCUCCCGGCCCAAUGCUUGUCACCGUGUCCCUCAGCCUUUCGCUAGGGAUUAUUUCUCCCGGCCUAACUGCCAACACCAGAUCCUCGCCCCAGGCGGCAUAGUGUCUACUAUGUACGCACAAAUAGUUACGCAUCUCAUAAAUAACCACUUCAUAGCAUAGAUACCGAUCAUUGUCUACACUAUAAAGAGGGGUUCAAAAACAUGUUCUAGCAUCCUAUCGUCAUCUGUCAGAUAGUCUACCAGUUCAUGGUUUUUAUAGAAAAUACGAUAUAUUAAAAUAUAGCUCAAAAUAGGCUAACAAUUUAUUUCCUCACCAAAACAUGAGACGAAAAUCAAUAUAUUAAAUCAACAAGCUUCACAUAAAUCAAAUCAUAAAUCCGUAGGCAUGCUAAUCAUUUAUGCAUUUACUAUAAAAUCAUGUAAUUUUAGAAGGGGUCCACUCACAGUACUUAGUUGCUAAAAGCUGCACCACUAGCGAAGACGGAAACGUCACAAUAAUUGUCCCUAAGCACAUAAAGAGUCCAAUAAAUAAAACUAUAUAAUAGCAAUUGAAUUUGAGAAAAUGGACAUUGGAAACAGAUUCAGAACGUCGAAUUACCCUAAGAAGGGUCUCGGACGAAAACCCGAAAAGUCAACCCUAAAGUCAACAUUGACCUGGGGUCAACGGUCAAAUUAGGUCUAACGGGUUUUAGGCUUGAAAUCCGGAUUAGGGUUUUAAAUGGAUUUUAGAAACCUAGGGUUUUUGGUUAAAAAGGGUUAGGAUGAAAAAUGGUGGUUUGGGCUUAAGCCCAAACACACAUACAUACACUACUAACACACACACAGCCCAUACACAUACACACAGGCCCUAAGGCCUUAUUAAAGGGCUGGGCUUAGAGCCCCUUAACCAAAAACCGGCCCAAGGCCAUUCUAAAUAAGGCCUGUGGCCUUUGGGAUCUUUAAAACAAAUAACUAAAAAUAAAAAUCAAACGGGCUGGGGAUUUGGGCUAAGGCAAAACGGGCUUAAGGCCCGUGGGAUUCUAAACGGCCUGAGAGGCCUGGUUUUGCCGAAGAAGAAGGCCGGAAAUUCGGCCGGAAAACUACCCAACUUUAAACGGCUAUACUUUGUCACUACUCAACGAAAUCAAGCGAGACAAAAACAAAAGUUGUAGCCCUUGAAGAGACGAAGAGAAUGGUACCUCACACGACGUCUAACUUGUCGUGGUUUGGCCGGAAAUGGCCUCGAAAGGGGCAUGCUCGCCGGAGCUCGUGUACGGGACUUCGUGGUUCGACUUCAAGAUGCCAAGACUAUGGUUGAGUUCGUAGCGACGAGAUAAAGACGAUGGUGAUGAUUGUUGGUAAGAAAAACUCUCGAAGGGGUUAAGAUAGAGAGAGCUGAGAGAGUGAGGGGGAGAGAGUUGCCGAAGAGGUGAGGGAGAAGAGAGAACUGAGAGAAGAGAGAGGGAGACCAGAAAACAUAAAAUAAAACAAGGUGGGCCCCACGGGCUCACCAAUUAAGGACUAAACAAAUUUUAAAAUAUAAAAAGGGGGUUGGGGUGUUUCAAGGCAGCAUGUACUGUGGGUUUCGGUGUUUAGGGAAUAUUCUGAGCUUCAUUACCAUUUUAAUGGUUAGGGAAAAUUUUGAGAUUCAUUAAUAGGAUUUUUGUGGCUAACAUUCUUUAGCUAAAUUCAUGACUAUUAGGUGUUUAGAGUCCAGUGGAUUGGUAUCCAUAUCUUAUAAAUAUGUUGGCCUAAGACAUAUGUUAGCUUUCAUUUUGUUUUUUCAUUUUCAUUUCUUAUAUCUUGCUUUUGCUUUUGAUGCAUAGUUUGAAAGCUUCUGGUUCAUAAUAUGGUUCCCCUGUGUGUGAGUGUGUGCAGUGUUUGUACAAUUUGAAUUCUCAAGCGUGAUGAUAUUGCCUAAACAUGUAGAUUUUACACUGCUUUUGUGCCAUGCAGGUGUGUGUGAGUGUGUGCAGUGUUUGUGCAAUUUGAGUGUGUGCCAUCUUUAACUGCAGAAGCAAAAUAUGUGUCAACUGCAUGUUGCUUUUAUUCUGUUUCUUAUGGAAACAAGCCUUCUGCAUAUUUUUUGCUUUGAACGUUUGUGCUUGGAAAGUUAGCUACUUGAAUGUUCAGUUUUGUCUAGCUAAUUGUACAAUGUCUUUACAUGUCAGCUUAGUUGAAUGUAUAUAAAAGCCAAGCUGCUUAUCCUUUUGACCUCAUUCACUCAUGUGUCUCUCUGUUCAUUCAUGAUUGUGUUUAAUUUAUUCAGGUUAAAUAUGUCUUAUUUAUACAGUUACGGGUGAUGCAUUCAAUUUCCGCAGCAACGAACGGGCAUAUUUUCUAGUUCUUCCUAAGGCUGUGCCACAAUGCAAUCCAACGAUCGAAAUUGUCUAUAUUUGAAGUCUUCAAGGUUAUCCUAGCAUAAAAAUCAUCCAAAUCCAAAACUGUUUGGUCACUUAAAAAUGUGCAAAUGUGGUUUGGUAUAAAGCUAAAAAUUAAGCAUAUAAGCAAUCACUAAUUUUGUUGACUUUUAGGAUGGAUAACCGUUGAAAGAGAAUCUAAAAAUUAAAUGGUUUCAAUCAUCGUCUAAGACCCUGGAAUACGAUGAAUCAAUAGGGAUUCAUUUCUUUAUUUUAAUUCUACAACAUAUGUAGUAGUAUAUAAUCUCAUGUUACAUCAACAUUAUGCACACUAUGCAAGGCUUUUUGUAAUUCUUGGAAGUCAGGGAGGCUGUGUCCUUGGAAUAAUGGAGGCUGCUGGUAGAUGACAGCGGCCACCCGAAUUAAAAUGCUUGCAGUUAGUCCCCAAAUUAGAAACGGCCCUUGCUCUGAUUCAAAAUCGAAAAGAUGGAGAAUGUACUUGCAACCCAUCCAUUCUCUGUCCUCAAAUCUGUGAUUAUCAUUCUGCAUUACACAAGAAGAAAUCACUGUUAAUUAAGUUUUGACAAAAGAACAUAAAUUGACAUAUGCAUGCUCUGCCUGUGACCUUUCUAGUGCAAUACACUGUUUUUGUAUGGUAGAAAUAACCUUGAGAAACAUCUCCAAUGGAACAUCAAAAAUGGCAUCAACUUCGUCGGCGUUGAGUACAGGCUUGAAAUCUUCAAUUCUAGCUACCAGUCCUAUCACUGGGACAACGGUGACCAAAUGCUGCGCAAGGCAAAAAAAAAUUACCUUCGAUUCAAAUUUCGUAGUACCGAUAUAUCAAAAGAAAAGAAAUGAGCAUAUACAUGUACGUGGUACCUGGGACAUAAAGCACUCUAGCUUUGCAACAACUUGAACUAGGCUUGGAUCGAGUCCAAUCUCUUCCAUGGCUUCCCUUAGUGCUGUUGCAGAUUCAUCUGCAUCUUCCUUCUCCAUUUUUCCGCCGGGCAAUGCUACAUCUCCUGUGUAAUCUCUAGAACACAUUUAGAAAGCCCUAGCGUCCAUGGCCAAGUCUAACAUUAAUUUGAGACUAUUAACAAAUAAGAAAUUAUUUCCACACAAAUUUAGCAUAUUAUACCUGGGUGUGAUGCCAAAUUCAUGGAUCUCCUAGUAAGAAUAACUCUUAGCUCACCCUCAGCUCCCUCAAAGAUGCAUAUCAGGACAGCUGCUCUUCUCUCUCUCAAUCUCAACUUGACACAAGAACACUCUUCAUUGCCGACUGCUAAGGAGUUGAAGCUUAUACCAGAGUUCACAGAUGUAUCGCUUUCGUUAUCAUCCUCUGAUUUAUCUGGUGCGGAGGGAGGUUUGUAAAACUCAAGCUGCUUGGCAAGCCUGUGUAGAGUUUGGCUUCUUCCCCAAUCCUCUAUGCUAGCCAUUUGUAAUUUUUGGCCAACUAUAUGCAUGUUCUUUGCAAUAUAUAGACAACAGUUUUAAAGUAAAUUACUCCUUGUAUUUUUCCAUGCCAUCCAUUAUCAAAGAAGCUGCAAAUCUCUAUCGGAGCAUAGGGAUUGGAAUUGGGGAGAACAUCUGAACAACCAUCACCAAAAAAAUUGGAAUUUUACGCCAACAAAUUGACUUGGGAAUAUGGUUAAAGUUGGAAUGGUUGGCACUGUUUAGAGGACCACGCUUGCAAUUUGCUACUUGGAUUCCACAACUUAUAUCAGCCAGGGCACUAAAUUAACUUUGCAGAAUUCAUUCCAAAAUCAAUUGAUAUUCCAUCAAGAUCUUGCCCUUGGAAUAACAAUGAUGUUGGAAUAUAAAUAUACGUCAAGGGAUAAGAAUUUUUUGGUUCGGUGCCAUGGUGAAUCUCAUUUAUUAACUACUAGUCAUGUUAUAUGUACGUCAGUUAAUAUUAAAAAGUUACACGAAAAGAUUGUUUGACACAAGUACCGAUUGACAAUACAUGGUACAGUUGGUACUUAGUUGAUAUUAGAAAUUUGCACCGGCGAUGGUACGGGAUUGAAAAUCAUAUGAGAUAUUUUGCUAAACCUUAUCAUGAAUGGAACAAAUUUAGAUACUAACAAAAAAUAUAAAAAUCCAUUUUUUCAAAGUGCAAGGAAAGAGAAAUUGUUUAUUCAAAAAGUUGGACCAAUGAUAAAAUUACAAAUGCAGUAUUGAGUAUAUCAGUCAAACAAAGCUUGCUACAUGCUAAACAAUGUUGAAAUACAUCAUUAGCUUUUUCAAGUGUUAUAUGCCAUUAAUGUAAUUGGAUAACAGACUUGUUCCUAGCUUGAGGUGCUUCCAAUGGAAAAUUGACCUUUCAAGUGUUAUAUGCCAUGAAUGUAAUUGGAUAACAGACUUGUUCCUAACUUGAGGUGCUUCCAAUGGAAAAAUUGACCUUUUGUUGUACUCUCUUGGACAGUUGUGAAUACAACUACAAAAAUAAUAAAGAGAGCCAAUGAUUAAAAAAAAAAUAUGCAUAAAAAGUUCAAAAUUGAGUUUAGAGAGAGAGAGAGAGAGAGAGAGGUGAGGUCACCUUAUAACCGGAGAUCAAAUGUAUUUUUUUCUAUUAUUGAGGUGGUAAUUCGACUUGUGAAAUUCUGAAAUCAAACAUUUAAAUAAAGUUUAAUCAAAAUUUAGUACGAAAUGUUAAUUAGAAAUGUGUUACAAUGGAAGCAAAAAAGAUGAAACUUGUCUAAUGUGAUGUGUACAAUUUUACCAUCUAUUUGUGAAAAAUAUACCGAUGUGACAUGUCAUAUGUUAGUCUUGCCUUCUUGAAAGUAAUAUUAGUCGUUGAUUGCCAGGUAGCAUAAAUUUGUACAAUAUUUUAUAAAUUAUGAGAAAAAUUAUUAUGUCAAACUUGUGUGCUAAAAAAUAAUUUAUUCUAUAUUGACGCAAGUUAUGAUUUUAAUUUGUAUAUACCUUGGUGGAGUAAUUCUGUGUAUGAGUUUCUUAUAUUCAUCAUCCAUGUUAUGUGAAAAGCUGAUUCCAAGUUCUGCAGAAGGUCACAAAAAAAUGAAAUAUAAAAUUGGAGCAAAGAUUCAAUUAUACAAAUUUACACUUCUAAACACAUAUAUAUAUAUUUAAAUAAAGAAAAUUUUGAAUAAAGAGGCACUAACAUUCCUCGAUGACAUACUGCUAACAUAUGAAAAAUAUAUAAUUUUAAACAAAAAAAAGGUACAAAAAAUACCUCAACAAAUCGUUUGAGGUGGAUGAUCACAACAUUUUCUCUUCCCUUUAUCCUCAUACUCUUUACCCACGUUCAUGCAUGUACAAUGCUCAAACACAACCCAAAUUAGUUCAAAGGAAAUAUGCACAACCCAAGAGAAAUUAAUUAAUUCAAAUAAUUAUUCACUUCCUCACAACCCAAGUUAAUUCAAAUGAAAUCUGCACAACCAAAAGUAAGAGAUCAAAUGAAAUAUGCACAACCCAAAUGAAGAGAUCAAACUCUAAUUCUCUCAAAAAAGCCAUUAUUCCUAAUGCCACCUCUCUUUUUGGAGAGAGAGUUUUCUGCACCCAAAAACCCCUUUGGCCUCUCUGUGCCUUUGAUUUUAUUGAGCAUGUCUUGGAACUCGGGACUUGAAGUUUGAUUUGAUUGGGUGUGAUUGUUGACAUGCUUAAUAAAAUCAAAGGCACAGAGAAGCCACAAGGAUUUUUGGGUGCAGAAGAUUUGGACUCCAUUUCCUUCCACGAUAACCAACACGCGUACAAUGGGGGUAAAUACGUGAUUUCAAUGUAUAACAGAGGAAAAAGGCUGAGAAUUAGGUAGCAAAUGAGGGACAAUUUCGUCAAAUCACUGUUAAUGAACAGUUUUAGUAUAUAUAAUUUAAUCGAUGGCUGAGAAUUAGGUAGCAAAUGAGGGACAAUUUCGUCAAAUCACUGUUAAUGAACAGUUUUAGUAUAUAUAAUUUAAUCGAUGGCGUAAAUUUGGGAACUUUAACGAAAAGCACCCGGUACUGUUCACUUUAACGAAAAACCACAUUUUUACACUAAAAAGUCAAUCAUGACACUAUUCACUUUACCCUUUAUUUUGUCCUUAUCAUUCAAACUCAAAGUUUUCAAGCCCUUUUCAUUAGUUUUCCUCGUAAAUUUACUAGUACAGUAGAUACUAUAAGUUAGUACAAGUGUAGCGGUAUUCCAUUGCUUAGUACAAGUGUAGUGGUAUUCCAUUGCGGCAGAUCAAUCUUCAUACACAUACUAAGAAACAAUGCUGCCACUUCUGCUCACUGAAUCCUCGUUUAGUCUGUGUCGCAACUUUGCUGAUUCCCUCAAACUCGCUCUUUGAUAGGACCCAUUCCGUAGGAAUGGAGAAGAAAAGGAAAAUGCAAGGAAAGUAAGAAAUAAAAUGACAGUUCUUUUCAUUCAUCCCUUUCCCAAAUGGUGAAAUGAGGCUUAUAUACAACCCUAGCAGAGGAGUGCCCAGAUGGGAACACAUCUCUAUCCUCAGAACCGUUGGAUGAAGCCAACUACUACAAAAAUAAGACAAAAUACCAUAAAGAUAUAAACCCAAUAACUAAGAUCCUAACAUUCCCUCCCCCUUAAAAUAAGGCAUGUCCUCAUGCCGUCAAGUUGGCAUGUAGAGGCUUGCGCGGCUUGUUCUCCCAAGCCUUGGGGUUCCAAAAAACGUAUCAUGAUAGAUGCCUCCAAAACCAGUGCAGUGUGAAUCUCCAAACAGACCACAAGAAAAUUGGCUUCCAAACAGAUUUUCAACCAAGCCUGCCAAGUUGUGCUUCUACCAUGCAUGGUCUCUGUAGAAGUGCAGGAGCUAUGAAGCACACAUCUCCUAAAAUGAUAUUCAACCUCUCCUUUGGUUUGACGAAAGCUGAAAGCCCAAAACACCAUGGCUGGCAAAGGAUAGAAAAUAUAAUAGUGGGGUACCAAUUCAAUCCUAGCAAACUUGACCUCAGUUGCUGGAUAUGUAGCCGCAUAUACCCUUGGUGAAAAUGCUAAAUUCCCAAAUCUGCUAGCAUUCCACAAGCACACUAGCUUCCAAAAAUCCAGAAAAGUGAUAUAACCAAAGAACUUUGGCAUUAAUGAUCCUGAUGCAUAUAAUGGUACUGAACAAUGACCCAAAAUGAUCUUCAAUUUAUACCGUGAUACAUUCUACAAGUAGGUAUCAUCAAAUUUGGUGUUGAUCGAAUAAUAAUCUGGCAUCCUCGGAGCAAGUAGCGAUGCAUCAGACAAAUUGGCAUCAUCCACACAAUAUUGUAUCAACUCGACCAAACGUAAUAGCUCUUUGACCAUGAAGGAAUGAUCUGCAAACAAAAUGGCCCAAGUCUUGAUAACAUGAACAUUUCCAAAAUGGCUCAAAACACCAUACAUCACACUACAGGUUUGUUCAAGACUCCUGGCAGUCCAAAGUCCCAAAAUGGCGUGGGUAUAUAUAGUGUGGUACAGCUGGACCCCAACACUUCUCACCAGCUUGAUAAUUAGCUCAAAACACCAUGGUCCUGUGUAAGACAUAGCAGCCUUAAACAUCCCAAGCAGAUAUAGUUUAUAACUUGCUGAUAGGCUCCAUAAAAGUAUGUGCCAUCGAUGAACAUAAGGGAAAUAAGAGCUUAAAAAAGAUAUUGCCAGAUUGAAUUGGAGAAGAGCAGUAAUCCCAUUAUCAUGAAAAUUGAAGUAAGCAAGGCCUAAACUAGCUUUUCUUGCACCAAAGUGCUCCAGGAGAAUAUUGUGCUUGCUUUUUUGUGACUGGUCAAGGUCAUUGAUAGCAAAUGAAUGCAUAACUGUUGACUUGACACUCAAGAACUGAGGCAAAGUUAGAGAAAACUGUAAUAUCAUAGUUUCUAGUGUAGCAUUCCAGAUUGCUAUGAAAAUUUCCAAUGCAUUAUCCAUGAGCAUAGGAUGCUCAGUCGCAUGCGGAGACUGCAACGUGGGAAGAAUGAGCAUCCAAUAGAAGUUCUCAAUCUCAAGAUUAGGAGAAAAAGAAGAGCAACCAAUCUGCUUAGUACCCACUGCUAGAGAAAGAACCAUAGAAAUCAAC
This 14229-nucleotide long non-coding RNA is filed under the name Malus domestica (apple). Its description in RNAcentral is "long non-coding RNA (MDOM_LNC011580)". Lineage: Eukaryota; Viridiplantae; Streptophyta; Magnoliopsida; Rosales; Rosaceae. The record is from RNAcentral.